This is a non-coding RNA of Proteobacteria bacterium SG_bin4, 101 nucleotides long. NCBI's taxonomy places the organism in Bacteria, Pseudomonadati, Pseudomonadota. The record is from Rfam.
GACAGGCGAUCUGGAGAGUGCCGGAAAGGUUUCCGGCCACCGAAGGGGCACACGGAUUCUAUUCUGUCAAUCUCUCAGGUAAAAAGGACAGAGGGGCGCUA